RNAcentral lists this unclassified non-coding RNA (339 nucleotides) under soil metagenome. RNAcentral describes it as "partial contains 5.8S ribosomal RNA, internal transcribed spacer 2, and large subunit ribosomal RNA". The stretch from base 1 to 120 matches the Rfam family "5.8S ribosomal RNA", at positions 35 to 154 of the family's 154-position model. The record is from RNAcentral.
GAUGAAGAACGUAGCGAAAUGCGAUAAGUAAUGUGAAUUGCAGAAUUCAGUGAAUCAUCGAAUCUUUGAACGCACAUUGCGCCCGCCAGUAUUCUGGCGGGCAUGCCUGUCCGAGCGUCAUUUCAACCAUCAAGCCCCCGGGCUUGUGUUGGGGACCUGCGGCUGCCCGCAGGCCCUGAAAACCAGUGGCGGGCUCGCUGUCACACCGAGCGUAGUAGCAAUCACCUCGCUCAGGGCGUGCUGCGGGUUCCGGCCGUUAAACAGCCCUACAAAACCCAAGGUUGACCUCGGAUCAGGUAGGAAGACCCGCUGAACUUAAGCAUAUCAAUAAGCGGAGGA